UGCCCAGACUCCUACGGGAGGCAGCAGUGAGGAAUAUUGGUCAAUGGCCGGGAGGCUGAACCAACCAAGUCGCGUGAGGGAAGACGGCCCUACGGGUUGUAAACCUCUUUUGUCAGGGAGCAAGGUGCAGGUCGGGACCUGCUGUGAGAGUACCUGAAGAAAAAGCAUCGGCUAACUCCGUGCCAGCAGCCGCGGUAAUACGGAGGAUGCGAGCGUUAUCCGGAUUUAUUGGGUUUAAAGGGUGCGUAGGCGGACAGUCAAGUCAGCGGUAAAAAUGCGGUGCUCAACGCCGUACAGCCGUUGAAACUGGCAGUCUUGAGUGGGCGAGAAGUAUGCGGAAUGCGUGGUGUAGCGGUGAAAUGCAUAGAUAUCACGCAGAACUCCGAUUGCGAAGGCAGCAUACCGGCGCCCGACUGACGCUGAGGCACGAAAGCGUGGGUAUCGAACAGGAUUAGAUACCCUGGUA
RNAcentral lists this ribosomal RNA (466 nucleotides) under uncultured bacterium. Its description in RNAcentral is "bacterial SSU rRNA". It matches the Rfam family "Bacterial small subunit ribosomal RNA", at positions 328 to 792 of the family's 1533-position model. The record is from RNAcentral.